UACGUAGGGGGCGAGCGUUGUCCGGAUUCAUUGGGCGUAAAGGGUGCGUAGGCGGCGCGGUAAGUCGGGUGUGAAAUCUUGGAGCUUAACUCCGAAACUGCAUUCGAUACUGCCGUGCUUGAGGACUGGAGAGGAGACUGGAAUUUACGGUGUAGCGGUGAAAUGCGUAGAUAUCGGGAGGAACACCAGCGGCGAAGGCGGCGCUCUGGGCCGGUACUGACACUGAGGAGCGAAAGCGUGGGUAGCAAACAGG
Molecule: ribosomal RNA, 253 nt
Filed under: uncultured bacterium
Lineage: Bacteria
Description: partial 16S ribosomal RNA
Rfam family: Bacterial small subunit ribosomal RNA
Source: RNAcentral